CAUCUGUUAAAGAUUUGCUGGCAUCAUUGCACAGCCAGGGAGAGGAAGAGAAGAAGGAACACAAGUCAGACAAAACAGAAGACGAGAAGAACUGCUUCAAGCUGGAGUGAUGUCGCUGUGGUUCUUUUGUGACUGAUCAUCUCUGGAGCUUUUGUGAAUGAUCUAGCUAGCUAUCUAUAAUUGA
Zea mays is the source of this 184-nucleotide long non-coding RNA. RefSeq lists it as uncharacterized. The record is from RefSeq and is a predicted model, not a curated record. Lineage: Eukaryota; Viridiplantae; Streptophyta; Magnoliopsida; Poales; Poaceae. The transcript has 2 exons.